GCCUGGGUGGCUCAGUCGGUUGAGCGUCCGACUUCGGCUCAGGUCAUGAUCUCACGGUUCGUGGGUUCGAGCCCCGCAUCGGGCU
RNAcentral lists this transfer RNA (85 nucleotides) under Crocuta crocuta (spotted hyena). It matches the Rfam family "tRNA". Rfam says of the family: Transfer RNA (tRNA) molecules are approximately 80 nucleotides in length. Their secondary structure includes four short double-helical elements and three loops (D, anti-codon, and T loops). Lineage: Eukaryota; Metazoa; Chordata; Mammalia; Carnivora; Hyaenidae. The record is from Rfam by way of RNAcentral. RNAcentral also lists the same sequence under 4 other names.